This 407-nucleotide ribosomal RNA is filed under the name uncultured bacterium. Its description in RNAcentral is "partial 16S ribosomal RNA". It matches the Rfam family "Bacterial small subunit ribosomal RNA", at positions 28 to 526 of the family's 1533-position model. The record is from RNAcentral.
GACGAACGCUGGCGGCGUGCCUAAUACAUGCAAGUAGGACGCAGUUGCGAACGGGUGAGUAACGCGUAGGUAACUGCCUCUUAGAGGGGGAUAACUAUUGGAAACGAUAGCUAAUACCGCAUACUAGUAGAUGGACCUGCGUUGUAUUAGCUAGUAGGUAGGGUAAUGGCCUACCUAGGCGACGAUACAUAGCCGACCUGGGAGGGUGGUCUGCCAAACUGGGACUGGGACACGGCCCAGACUCCUACGGGGUGCAGCAGUAGGGGAUCUUCGGCAAUGGGGGGAACCCUGACCGAGCAAAGCCGCGUGAGUGAAGAAAGUUUUCGGGUCGUAAAGCUCUGUUGUGAAGGAAGCGGUACUUAACCAGAAAGGGACGGCUAACUACGUGCCAGCAGCCGCGGUAAUAC